This 459-nucleotide ribosomal RNA is filed under the name uncultured bacterium. RNAcentral describes it as "partial 16S ribosomal RNA". It matches the Rfam family "Bacterial small subunit ribosomal RNA", at positions 338 to 795 of the family's 1533-position model. The record is from RNAcentral.
CCUACGGGGAGCUGCAGUGAGGAAUAUUGGUCAAUGGCCGCAGGGCUGAACCAGCCAAGUCGCGUGAGGGAUGACGGUCCUAUGGAUUGUAAACCUCUUUUGUCAGGGAGCAAAGGGCGCCACGUGUGGCGCUUUGCGAGUACCUGAAGAAAAAGCAUCGGCUAACUCCGUGCCAGCAGCCGCGGUAAUACGGAGGAUGCGAGCGUUAUCCGGAUUUAUUGGGUUUAAAGGGUGCGCAGGCGGAAUGUCAAGUCAGCGGUAAAAUUUCGGGGCUCAACCCCGUCGUGCCGUUGAAACUGGCGUUCUUGAGUGAGCGAGAAGUAUGCGGAAUGCGUGGUGUAGCGGUGAAAUGCAUAGAUAUCACGCAGAACUCCGAUUGCGAAGGCAGCAUACCGGCGCUCAACUGACGCUCAUGCACGAAAGCGUGGGUAUCGAACAGGAUUAGAUACCCCUGUAGUC